GGCGUAGUCGAUGGGAAACGGGUUAAUAUUCCCGUACUUGGUGUUACUGCGAAGGGGGGACGGAGAAGGCUAUGUUGGCCGGGCGACGGUUGUCCCGGUUUAAGCGUAUAGGUGUGUGUUCCAGGUAAAUCCGGUUCACUUUAACACUGAGGCGUGAUGACGAGGCGCUACGGUGCUGAAGCAACAAAUGCCCUGCUUCCAGGAAAAGCCUCUAAGCAUCAGGUAACAUCAAAUCGUACCCCAAACCGACACAGGUGGUCAGGUAGAGAAUACCAAGGCGCUUGAGAGAACUCGGGUGAAGGAACUAGGCAAAAUGGUGCCGUAACUUCGGGAGAAGGCACGCUGACAUGUAGGUGAAGUGAUUUACUCACGGAGCUGAAGUCAGUCGAAGAUACCAGCUGGCUGCAACUGUUUAUUAAAAACACAGCACUGUGCAAACACGAAAGUGGACGUAUACGGUGUGACGCCUGCCCGGUGCCGGAAGGUUAAUUGAUGGGGUCAGCGCAAGCGAAGCUCCUGAUCGAAGCCCCGGUAAACGGCGGCCGUAACUAUAACGGUCCUAAGGUAGCGAAAUUCCUUGUCGGGUAAGUUCCGACCUGCACGAAUGGCGUAAUGAUGGCCAGGCUGUCUCCACCCGAGACUCAGUGAAAUUGAACUCGCUGUGAAGAUGCAGUGUACCCGCGGCAAGACGGAAAGACCCCGUGAACCUUUACUAUAGCUUGACACUGAACAUUGAGCCUUGAUGUGUAGGAUAGGUGGGAGGCUUUGAAGUGUGGACGCCAGUCUGCAUGGAGCCGACCUUGAAAUACCACCCUUUAAUGUUUGAUGUUCUAACGUGGACCCGUAAUCCGGGUUGCGGACAGUGUCUGGUGGGUAGUUUGACUGGGGCGGUCUCCUCCUAAAGAGUAACGGAGGAGCACGAAGGUUGGCUAAUCCUGGUCGGACAUCAGGAGGUUAGUGCAAUGGCAUAAGCCAGCUUGACUGCGAGCGUGACGGCGCGAGCAGGUGCGAAAGCAGGUCAUAGUGAUCCGGUGGUUCUGAAUGGAAGGGCCAUCGCUCAACGGAUAAAAGGUACUCCGGGGAUAACAGGCUGAUACCGCCCAAGAGUUCAUAUCGACGGCGGUGUUUGGCACCUCGAUGUCGGCUCAUCACAUCCUGGGGCUGAAGUAGGUCCCAAGGGUAUGGCUGUUCGCCAUUUAAAGUGGUACGCGAGCUGGGUUUAGAACGUCGUGAGACAGUUCGGUCCCUAUCUGCCGUGGGCGCUGGAGAACUGAGGGGGGCUGCUCCUAGUACGAGAGGACCGGAGUGGACGCAUCACUGGUGUUCGGGUUGUCAUGCCAAUGGCACUGCCCGGUAGCUAAAUGCGGAAGAGAUAAGUGCUGAAAGCAUCUAAGCACGAAACUUGCCCCGAGAUGAGUUCUCCCUGAGACUUUAAGUCUCCUGAAGGAACGUUGAAGACGACGACGUUGAUAGGCCGGGUGUGUAAGCGCAGCGAUGCGUUGAGCUAACCGGUACUAAUGAACCGUGAGGCUUAACCUU
RNAcentral lists this ribosomal RNA (1539 nucleotides) under Salmonella enterica. RNAcentral describes it as "partial 23S ribosomal RNA". It matches the Rfam family "Bacterial large subunit ribosomal RNA", at positions 1408 to 2925 of the family's 2925-position model. Lineage: Bacteria; Pseudomonadati; Pseudomonadota; Gammaproteobacteria; Enterobacterales; Enterobacteriaceae. The record is from RNAcentral.